GGCCAUCCUAUUCCCGAACACUUCGGGUUCGCAUGCGAGCUUGAGGUAUCUUCGGUAUAUCGACAAUCUCGCUGAGAUAGGAUGUUAUAGUUGGGGCGCUACUGUGUUGGGCUACAUGUAUCGAGGAUUCUGCCGAUGUUCUAUGGGCACGAGGGUAGAGGUCCCUGCAUUUUGCUCGCUCCUUUAGAUUUGGGUGUGGACUAGGUUGAGACCUUUUCAGCCCAUACCAGCUGACCCUCCCGCUGACUAUCUUACUGUCCCGAUGCCAUACGCGCGGAGAUGGUCGCGAGGCGUACGCCGACGUGUGGAGACGCACCACAGCCUUCUCCCGUUUAGGGAUCAGCUAGACCGCAUGACGGCGCAGACGGCUUUUAUAUGGACGCCGUAUGAUCAUAUUUUGGAUGAGCUGCCGGCGUUUUGUAGGGCUGGUCAGCACAUGUGGAUGUCGCGGUGUCCAUUGAUACAUAUGAAUAUCGUUGAGUAUC
Lycium ferocissimum is the source of this 485-nucleotide long non-coding RNA. RefSeq lists it as uncharacterized. The transcript is spliced from 3 exons. NCBI's taxonomy places the organism in Eukaryota, Viridiplantae, Streptophyta, Magnoliopsida, Solanales, Solanaceae. The record is from RefSeq and is a predicted model, not a curated record.